UUCCGGUUGAUCCUGCCGGAGGCCAUUGCUAUCGGAGUCCGAUUUAGCCAUGCUAGUUGCACGGGUUUAGACCCGUGGCGAAAAGCUCAGUAACACGUGGCCAAGCUACCCUGCAGACCAGAAUAACCUCGGGAAACUGAGGACAAUCCUGGAUAACGCUCCCCCACUGGAAUGUGGGGAGCCGGAAAUGCUCCGGCGCUGCAGGAUGCGGCUGCGGCCGAUUAGGUUGACGGUGGGGUAACGGCCCACCGUGCCCAUAAUCGGUACGGGUUGUGAGAGCAAGAGCCCGGAGACGGAAUCUGAGACAAGAUUCCGGGCCCUACGGGGCGCAGCAGGCGCGAAACCUUUACACUGCACGCCAGUGCGAUAAGGGGACUCCGAGUGCGAGGGCAUAGAGCCCUCGCUUUUCUGUACCGUAAGGUGGUACAGGAAGAAGGGCUGGGCAAGACCGGUGCCAGCCGCCGCGGUAAUACCGGCAGCCCAAGUGAUGGCCGAUAUUAUUGGGCCUAAAGCGUCCGUAGCCGGCCGGACAAGUCCGUUGGGAAAUCCGCACGCUUAACGUGCGGGCGUCCAGCGGAAACUGUCCGGCUUGGGACCGGAAGACCCGAGGGGUACGUCCGGGGUAGGAGUGAGAUCCUGUAAUCCCGGACGGACCACCUGUGGCGAAAGCGCCUCGGGAAGACGGAUCCGACGGUGAGGGACGAAAGCCAAGGUCUCGAACCGGAUUAGAUACCCGGGUAGUCCUGGCCGUAAACGAUGCCCGCUAGGUGUGACGCAGGCUACGAGCCUGCGCUGUGCCGUAGGGAAGCCGUGAAGCGGGCCGCCUGGGAAGUACGUCCGCAAGGAUGAAACUUAAAGGAAUUGGCGGGGGAGCACUACAACCGGAGGAGCCUGCGGUUUAAUUGGACUCAACGCCGGG
This 919-nucleotide ribosomal RNA is filed under the name uncultured archaeon. RNAcentral's name for it is "bacterial SSU rRNA". It matches the Rfam family "Archaeal small subunit ribosomal RNA", at positions 1 to 922 of the family's 1478-position model. The record is from RNAcentral.